This 253-nucleotide ribosomal RNA is filed under the name uncultured bacterium. RNAcentral's name for it is "partial 16S ribosomal RNA". It matches the Rfam family "Bacterial small subunit ribosomal RNA", at positions 524 to 776 of the family's 1533-position model. The record is from RNAcentral.
CACGUAGGAGGCGAGCGUUGUCCGGAAUCAUUGGGCGUAAAGAGCGCGCAGGCGGCUUGGCAAGUCGGGUGUGAAAUCCCGGGGCUCAACCCCGGGACUGCAUUCGAUACUGUCAGGCUAGAGGUAGGUAGGGGAGAUCGGAAUUCCUGGUGUAGCGGUGAAAUGCGCAGAUAUCAGGAGGAACACCGGUGGCGAAGGCGGAUCUCUGGGCCUUACCUGACGCUCAGGCGCGAAAGCGUGGGGAGCGAACAGG